AUUGAACGCUGGCGGCAGGCUUAACACAUGCAAGUCGAGCGGGGUGAUGGUGCUUGCACUAUCACUUAGCGGCGGACGGGUGAGUAAUGCUUAGGAAUCUGCCUAUUAGUGGGGGACAACAUCUCGAAAGGGAUGCUAAUACCGCAUACGUCCUACGGGAGAAAGCAGGGGAUCACUUGUGACCUUGCGCUAAUAGAUGAGCCUAAGUCGGAUUAGCUAGUUGGUGGGGUAAAGGCCUACCAAGGCGACGAUCUGUAGCGGGUCUGAGAGGAGGAUCCGCCACACUGGGACUGAGACACGGCCCAGACUCCUACGGGAGGCAGCAGUGGGGAAUAUUGGACAAUGGGGGGAACCCUGAUCCAGCCAUGCCGCGUGUGUGAAGAAGGCCUUAUGGUUGUAAAGCACUUUAAGCGAGGAGGAGGCUACUUUAGUUAAUACCUAGAGAUAGUGGACGUUACUCGCAGAAUAAGCACCGGCUAACUCCGUGCCAGCCGCCGCAGUAA
RNAcentral lists this ribosomal RNA (503 nucleotides) under uncultured bacterium. Its description in RNAcentral is "partial 16S ribosomal RNA". It matches the Rfam family "Bacterial small subunit ribosomal RNA", at positions 30 to 523 of the family's 1533-position model. The record is from RNAcentral.